RNAcentral lists this ribosomal RNA (492 nucleotides) under uncultured bacterium. RNAcentral's name for it is "partial 16S ribosomal RNA". It matches the Rfam family "Bacterial small subunit ribosomal RNA", at positions 29 to 507 of the family's 1533-position model. The record is from RNAcentral.
AGUGAACGCUGGCGGUAGGCCUAACACAUGCAAGUCGAACGGCAGCACAGUAAGAGCUUGCUCUUACGGGUGGCGAGUGGCGGACGGGUGAGGAAUACAUCGGAAUCUACUUUUUCGUGGGGGAUAACGUAGGGAAACUUACGCUAAUACCGCAUACGACCUACGGGUGAAAGCAUGGGAUCUUCGGACCUUGCGCGAUUGAAUGAGCCGAUGUCGGAUUAGCUAGUUGGCGGGGUAAAGGCCCACCAAGGCGACGAUCCGUAGCUGGUCUGAGAGGAUGAUCAGCCACACUGGAACUGAGACACGGUCCAGACUCCUACGGGAGGCAGCAGUGGGGAAUAUUGGACAAUGGGCGCAAGCCUGAUCCAGCCAUACCGCGUGGGUGAAGAAGGCCUUCGGGUUGUAAAGCCCUUUUGUUGGGAAAGAAAAGCAGCAGGUUAAUACCCCGCUGUUCUGACGGUACCCAAAGAAUAAGCACCGGCUAACUUCGCG